GGAAAGGCGCGCGAUACAGGGUGACAGCCCCGUACACAAAAAUGCACAUGCUGUGAGCUCGAUGAGUAGGGCGGGACACGUGGUAUCCUGUCUGAAUAUGGGGGGACCAUCCUCCAAGGCUAAAUACUCCUGACUGACCGAUAGUGAACCAGUACCGUGAGGGAAAGGCGAAAAGAACCCCGGCGAGGGGAGUGAAAAAGAACCUGAAACCGUGUACGUACAAGCAGUGGGAGCACGCUUAGGCGUGUGACUGCGUACCUUUUGUAUAAUGGGUCAGCGACUUAUAUUCUGUAGCAAGGUUAACCGAAUAGGGGAGCCGAAGGGAAACCGAGUCUUAACUGGGCGUUAAGUUGCAGGGUAUAGACCCGAAACCCGGUGAUCUAGCCAUGGGCAGGUUGAAGGUUGGGUAACACUAACUGGAGGACCGAACCGACUAAUGUUGAAAAAUUAGCGGAUGACUUGUGGCUGGGGGUGAAAGGCCAAUCAAACCGGGAGAUAGCUGGUUCUCCCCGAAAGCUAUUUAGGUAGCGCCUCGUGAAUUCAUCUCCGGGGGUAGAGCACUGUUUCGGCAAGGGGGUCA
Molecule: ribosomal RNA, 580 nt
Filed under: Escherichia coli
Lineage: Bacteria; Pseudomonadati; Pseudomonadota; Gammaproteobacteria; Enterobacterales; Enterobacteriaceae
Description: partial 23S ribosomal RNA
Rfam family: Bacterial large subunit ribosomal RNA
Source: RNAcentral